AUAGUGGAGAUUCAAACUCGAAUUCCAAUGGAAAUCCUCAAGGUUAUCCUUUGAAUGAGAGGGUUUGGAGCUGGAGAUUCAAAGCUGGCGCGCAAGGGUCCUCAAUUCUGAUCAUGGAGGGUUCUAUUUAUAUCCAAAGCAUUGUUAUUUGCACACUUGAUUCAAAACUCCAAAAAUAUUAAUUCCACUUCGCAUGCAUGCAUGGGCGUGUG
This 212-nucleotide long non-coding RNA is filed under the name Lathyrus oleraceus (garden pea). Its description in RNAcentral is "Pisum sativum (pea) long non-coding RNA (PSAT_LNC000443)". The record is from RNAcentral. Lineage: Eukaryota; Viridiplantae; Streptophyta; Magnoliopsida; Fabales; Fabaceae.